UAAGGAGGGAUGUUCCUAAGGUGUGAUUAGCGAUUGGGGUGAAGUCGUAACAAGGUAUCCGUACGGGAACGUGCGGAUGGAUCACCUCCUUUCUAAGGAGA
This 101-nucleotide ribosomal RNA is filed under the name Cetobacterium somerae. RNAcentral's name for it is "partial 16S ribosomal RNA". It matches the Rfam family "Bacterial small subunit ribosomal RNA", at positions 1442 to 1533 of the family's 1533-position model. Lineage: Bacteria; Fusobacteriati; Fusobacteriota; Fusobacteriia; Fusobacteriales; Fusobacteriaceae. The record is from RNAcentral.